RNAcentral lists this ribosomal RNA (250 nucleotides) under uncultured bacterium. Its description in RNAcentral is "partial 16S ribosomal RNA". It matches the Rfam family "Bacterial small subunit ribosomal RNA", at positions 524 to 773 of the family's 1533-position model. The record is from RNAcentral.
UACGAAGGGGGCUAGCGUUGCUCGGAAUCACUGGGCGUAAAGGGCGCGUAGGCGGCCGAUUAAGUCGGGGGUGAAAGCCUGUGGCUCAACCACAGAAUUGCCUUCGAUACUGGUUGGCUUGAGACCGGAAGAGGACAGCGGAACUGCGAGUGUAGAGGUGAAAUUCGUAGAUAUUCGCAAGAACACCAGUGGCGAAGGCGGCUGUCUGGUCCGGUUCUGACGCUGAGGCGCGAAAGCGUGGGGAGCAAAC